GCAGCCUUAGAACACUGCCUUCAGCGUCUGUCAGACCAGAAGGCUCUGCAAAAAUGGGAGCCUUUAAGCAACUCCUAUCAACAACGCCCAUCUCAGCCAUCUUCCAUGACUCAGGAAUCUGUUUCUGGAUGGCAGCGUCUAUUUUCCGCUUUAGUUCCCAGCAGGAAUCUCAAACCUUGGGAUGUAGCCAUGAUUUGGACUGUUUGUGUGCCUUCAGAUCAGAUUCCUGAAGCUUGCAGCAUCUCCUGAGCCACCAGAGAAUUGCCAUCUCUUACUCCGUGCUAGCUGAGUCAAAACCACCAUCUACUAAUGAUCA
Molecule: long non-coding RNA, 316 nt
Organism: Centrocercus urophasianus (Greater sage-grouse)
Lineage: Eukaryota; Metazoa; Chordata; Aves; Galliformes; Phasianidae
Exons: 3
Source: RefSeq, a predicted model, not a curated record